CUGGCUCAGGGCGAACGCUGGCGGCGUGCUUAACACAUGCAAGUCGAACGAGGAGGCUCUCUUCGGAGAGUAGUACUAGUGGCGAACGGGUGAGUAACGCGUAGGAAAGUAUCCUCCAGACUGGGACA
RNAcentral lists this ribosomal RNA (128 nucleotides) under Marinitoga hydrogenitolerans DSM 16785. RNAcentral describes it as "16S rRNA. Bacterial SSU". It matches the Rfam family "Bacterial small subunit ribosomal RNA", at positions 19 to 145 of the family's 1533-position model. The record is from RNAcentral. Lineage: Bacteria; Thermotogati; Thermotogota; Thermotogae; Petrotogales; Petrotogaceae.